RNAcentral lists this transfer RNA (76 nucleotides) under Escherichia coli. RNAcentral describes it as "tRNA-Asn". It matches the Rfam family "tRNA". Rfam says of the family: Transfer RNA (tRNA) molecules are approximately 80 nucleotides in length. Their secondary structure includes four short double-helical elements and three loops (D, anti-codon, and T loops). Lineage: Bacteria; Pseudomonadati; Pseudomonadota; Gammaproteobacteria; Enterobacterales; Enterobacteriaceae. RNAcentral also lists the same sequence under 1 other name. The record is from RNAcentral.
UCCUCUGUAGUUCAGUCGGUAGAACGGCGGACUGUUAAUCCGUAUGUCACUGGUUCGAGUCCAUUCAGAGGAGCCA